RNAcentral lists this unclassified non-coding RNA (10282 nucleotides) under Portunus trituberculatus (swimming crab). Its description in RNAcentral is "kinesin heavy chain-like, transcript variant X4". The record is from RNAcentral. Lineage: Eukaryota; Metazoa; Arthropoda; Malacostraca; Decapoda; Portunidae.
UGGAUCGAUCCCCCCGGUGGUUCCAGCGUCAGCGGUGCGGCGAGGCCUCAGUCAUGAUGCCGGCAGCCGGAGGAGCGCCGGCACCACGCUACCUCGCCGCCUGACGCGUCCCGUGCUGCUAGCCUGUCCUGCCGCACCCUCACCCUCCCCCCAACCCGCUGCUACAGCAGCCCCAGACUCGUGACUCCCUCACCUCAGCGACCCGACACCCGCGGCCUUGACUUAGUCCUCAGGAGGCCCUGCAGACAUCCACACCAUGGGAGGUGAAGAGGAAAGUCCCCGUCAGGAGGCGGAUGACAGCAUCAGAGUCAUCUGCCGCAUCCGUCCCCUCAACAAGAGCGAGGAGGCGGCGGGGAGCAGAUUCGUAUGCUCCUUUCCGUCCUCCCGCGGCCAGGAGGACCAGAUGGUCUCCGUUGGGGGGAAGGUUUACCUGUUUGACCGAGUAAUCAAGCCCAACUCAACCCAGGAGAAGGUGUAUGACAUUGUAGCCAAGGACAUCGUCAAAGAUGUACUCAAUGGAUACAAUGGAACCAUCUUUGCCUAUGGCCAGACCUCCUCAGGCAAGACCCACACAAUGGAGGGCAAGCUGGGCGACCCCACAUACCAGGGUAUCAUCCCAAGAAUUGUGCAUGAUAUCUUCAACCACAUCUACAACAUGGAGGAGGCGCUGGAGUUCCACAUCAAGGUGUCUUACUUUGAAAUCUACAUGGACAAGAUCAGGGACUUGCUGGAUGUGUCCAAAGUCAACCUGUCAGUGCAUGAGGACAAGAACCGUGUCCCGUCCGUUAAGGGAGCAACGGAGAGGUUUGUCUCGUCACCAGAGGAAGUGUUUGAGACUAUUGAGAUGGGCAAGUCCAAUAGGCAUGUCGCUGUCACCAACAUGAAUGAGCACAGUUCUCGAUCACACAGUGUUUUCCUGAUCCAAGUAAAGCAGGAAAACAUUGAGAAUCAGAAGAAACUCUUAGGAAAGCUGUACCUGGUGGAUCUGGCUGGUUCUGAAAAGGUGAGCAAAACAGGUGCUGAGGGAGCUGUGCUGGAUGAGGCUAAGAACAUCAACAAAUCACUCUCAGCACUUGGAAAUGUGAUUGCUGCUCUCGCUGAUGGGAAGACCCACGUGCCUUACCGAGAUUCCAAGCUAACCCGCAUCCUGCAAGAGAGUCUGGGAGGCAAUGCCCGCACCACCAUCGUCAUCUGUGCCUCCCCAGCCUCCUUCAAUGAGGCGGAGACAAGGUCCACCCUCGACUUUGGAAAGAGAGCCAAGACAAUCAAGAACUGUGUCACUGUGAAUGAGGAGCUAACAGCAGAGGAGUGGAAGAGGAGAUACAACAAGGAGAAGGAGAAGAACGUUAAGAUGAAGGCACAAGUAGAGUGUAUGGAAGCAGAGUUAGCUCGCUGGCGUAGUGGAGAGAAGGUGUCCUCGGAAGAACAGAUUACCGUCGACAUGGAGAAGUCAAUGGUGUCGUCAGUUGUUGAAGAGGCCCCCAAGAAGCCAGCAGCUCCUCCCAUGAGCAACGAAGUGCGGGAUGCCUGGGAGAAGGAGAGGGAGCAGCUGUACCAGAGCCUGGAUGAGAAGGAUGAGGAGAUCAACCAGCACAGCCAGCUGGCAGAGAAGCUGAAGGAGCAAAUGCUGGAGCAAGAAGAGCUAAUUGCUGCCACUCGGCGUGACUACGAGGUGCUGCAGACGGAAAUGGCGAGGAUCCAGGCCGAGAACGACUCUGCCAAGGAUGAGGUGAAGGAGGUGCUGCAGGCGCUGGAGGAGCUGGCCCUCAACUAUGACCAGAAGAGCCAAGAGGUGGAAAGCAAGUGCAAGGAGAAUGAGACACUCACCGAGGAGCUCACUGACAAACAAACAGCCCUCACGUCCAUGCAGGGAGAACUACAACAGAUCCGGGACUCAUCGGUUCACCAGAAAAGAAGGAUGAACGAAAUGUUGUGCUCGCUGCUCAAUGACCUCGGGGAAGUGGGACACGUGGUGGGCGGCACUGCUGGCGACCUUUCCCUCAAGAAUUCUGGUGACCCCAACAAACUUGAAGAAGAGUUUACAAUGGCACGCCUCUACGUGUCCAAGAUGAAGAGUGAGGUUCGGAAUCUUGUCCAGCGGUGCAGCACUCUGGAAAACUUCCAGGGUGACUGCAACAAGAAGAUCGAUGAAUAUGAGAAGGAGCUGAGUGACUGCCGUCUACUCAUCAGCCAGCAUGAGGCUCGCAUGAAGACCUUGCAGACAUCCAUGCAGGAGGCAGAGACACGCAAGAGGCAGCUGGAAGAACAGGUUGACUCCCUGAGUGAAGAGGUUGCCAAACUGAAGGCAGCUGAGAGCCUGAAUGACUCUGAGGGCUUGUCCAAGGAGGCCCUAGAGAAGCAGAUGGAGACGCACAGUGAGCUGCACCAGAAGCAGGUGGCUCAGCUGCGGCAGGAGAUCAACACCAAACAGGCCCUGGUAGAGGAGCUCAAGGACCACAACCAGAAGCUGAGUGUGGAGCAUGAACAGCUGAAGGUGGAGUACAGCAAGCUGAAGGCAGAGGAGGCAGAGAAGAGUGCCCGCCUCCACGAGCUAAUCUUGCGUCACUGGACUCCCCGAGCCUACCCAAGCCUUCAGAAUGAGCGUCGGGAGCAGGCCCACCAUGACCUGAAGGGACUAGAGGACACUGUGGCCAAGGAACUUCAGACUCUCCACAACCUUAGGAAGAUGUUUGUACAAGACCUUCAAGCUCGUGUCAGAAAGUCAGCAGCAGGGGAAGACGAGGACAUUCUGGGAGGAUCAGUCGCCCAGAAACAGAAGAUCAGCUUCCUUGAAAACAACCUGGACCAGCUGACCAAGGUACACAAGCAGCUAGUGAGGGACAAUGCUGACCUGAGAUGUGAACUGCCCAAGCUGGAGAAGAGACUAAGAGCCACCAUGGAGAGAGUGAAGAUCAAUGAUGAGGGAGCCUUGCUCAGUUCCUCGCUCAGGCUAGAGGAGCACAGACCACCACACAACCUCCCGGCCGUGCCUAGUCUUGAGCAACGUCUUGUGGCAACCAUGGCCCGGGUCAAGGCCCUGGAGACAGCUCUGAAGGAGGCUAAGGAGGGUGCCAUGAGGGACCGUAAGCGCUACCAGUAUGAGGUGGACAGGAUCAAGGAGGCUGUGAGGCAGAAGAACCUAGCUAGGAGGGGACAAGGAGCACAUAUUGCCAAACCAAUCCGCACGGGUCCAGCCAGCCUCCUGUCCCGGCCUGGUGCCCUGGGCAUGAUGGGACGUGCACCGAGCAACACUCCACUACCACGCCAGUUUGUAGCCUCCAACAGCUAGACACACUUCAUUCUGAGCUCCCAGGAUGCCAGCAGUAUGUAGCAGCCUGGCACACUGUAAGGCAGCACCCAUCCACCCACACACCCACACCACCACCGGCCUCUCACACUCACCUGGACUGAAGUAAAAAAAAAAAAAAUAUCUAGCGUUCAUCUGCCUUUGUAAUUCCUAAGCUAUAGCUACUGUUGGCCUGAGUGAUAUUCAUCUGUUAGUCUCCUGCAUCAUGCAUAGGUUUUGUGUGUGUUGUUUUAGGGCUCGGUGUCUUGUGUAUUGCCUCUGUUUCCACACCUCUGUUGAGUACUUUGGUCUGGUGAGGAUGUCUGGUGAUGGCAGAAUAUUAUAACUGGAGGGAAUUUAUCAACACCCAAGAUUGGCGAGAGAUGUGAACCUUGAACUUAAUGACAACAAGUAUGAAAGUUUUCUAAUCAAUUGUGAGUGUCAUCAAUCGAUUAAAAAAGGCCUCUUAGAAUGUAUUAACUGUAAUAUGUUACUACUUGGCUUGCCUGUAUUGGGAGAUAAGUUUGUGAUGCUUUCCUUGAUUCUAAUUCAGUUAAGAUAAUUUCAUUCAUCAGUUCAGAUAUCUUUGAGGUCGGUUUACCUGAGAUUGAAGAAAAGAUAUGCAAUUAAUUUAAUAUCUAAUCCCCCAUGAUAAUUUGUGAUAUCUUCCCAAUUGUCCUUCUUUGUCUAUCAUGUCAAAUCUAUUAACUCAGCCAGCUGCCUGGCACACAUCUUGUCUCCUCUCAUACAAUCUAUCCGUGUUUUCUUGCCUGGGUUCAAAACAGACGUCCAUGCUGUAUGGUUUUCCUUAGGAGACUUUGAGUGCCUGCUAAUUUCAUGCCAUAGUGAUUUUAUUUAUUUUUUUUUCCUCUGUGAUGGGAUUUCUUGGAAUAGCUAGUAUUUGUUAGUUAUAAUGGAACCUAAAAAAAUAUGUCAGGCUGCGUGAUUGUCAUGGUUUAGAGGAAAAUUGGCACGAGACAAUAGUACAGCAUAUUUUCUGAAAGACCGAGGGACAUUUCUUCGUUUUGAAUUUUGGCGCGCAAAUCGAAGCAGGGCGUUCCAAUAAUACGAGUAUAUAAAACAUUAACAGAGCCUUUCUGCUAAUAGACACACCAAAUAACAUACAUUUGAAAUUUAUAUGAUACAAAAAUGAGUAAAUUGAACCUAAAAAUGCUAAAAACACGUCAAUUGAGGAGUAUGAACACAUUUUGUAAGACUGGUGUCGUUGAUGGAGCAGAGGCAAUGUCAACAGAACUCAGGUGGAAGGGUGCGGAGUGGCGGCCGCUGCUGGUAUAAUGCUCAAUAUUGCGUGUGUGUGGCGCAGGACCCUUCACUCAACACCACGGCGAUGACUCAGAGGCCUCAACACCUCCACUGGACGCCGCGUGGCGUUUAUCUUUGGAAACACCCGGGGUCCGAUCCAAGUGAAACCAGCGCACCACACGAGGGAUCCCACCGCUGCCACCACUGUACAGCUGGCAGCUCACUCCCUGAACCACCGGGAAGCUGAACCAAAGUGUCAAGCCAAAGAGGAGCAGCUGGGGAUCAAACCUAUAAGACAACACUCAAGGCACACGACACACAACACAUGAUGCCUCUCCAGUCAAGCCAUGAUGAACACCAAGGCCCAAGUGGAAUUCGGUCCACCUUGACUGUCCAGCCACUAUAAUUAAGUCUUUGUUAAGCUGUUUUAGGUAAUGUUUCAAUGGGUCCUUUAUUCUGCACCAAAGACAGUGAAUCUCGUGUUGUUAAUGAAUUCUGCUGAGUGUUUUGUAGGUGAUGAAUUUUGUCACCCAUGUUGUGGCACUAAGAGAGAGUGAGAGAGAAUUAUUAUAUACAUACUAUAUACAUUAUUGUGGGUGUUUGUUAAGCAUAUAAAUACCUGUAUAGAUUUCAUUAGGAAUCACUAUUGCAAGAACUACUAUAUUCGGCCUUCAGUAUAACAUGAGUACCAUAUCAAAAGGCAGUUUCUUGUUUAUCUGUAGCACGAGUGGUAUGUUUGAAAAUUUAUGAUCAGAGGGAGAGUAGUGUGUGUCUCAGUUGCAGUAUUGGCAUCUCAUGAUUAUAUUGCUGACACCAACCUUGUUUUUAUUGGGAGUGUAUGUUGAGGAUCAAAAAGGUGAAUUUAGUUUUAUCAGUCAGAAUUUUGUUAUGCACAGAAUGAAAUGAAUAUUUACAGGACACUAAUUUUUAGUGAAGUAUCUCUCGUGCUACAGGAAUAAAUAAGAAUGCAGUGGGUUGAUCUAACUGAAAUGGUGAGUCAUUAUCCUUUACUCUCAAGGCUGUGUGUUGACUUAAGUUAGCUCUUACUUUUAUCACACUAUUGCUGCUUAAGUUCUUUAUGUAUUUAAGUACACUGUACCUAUUUAUUGUGACCUCGUUCACAUCAAGGCUGUGGAUUAGUUGAGCAUGAUUGUUAUGUAUGUAUAUCUCACUUUAUGUAUACAGUCAAGGCUUGAAAACUUUUGAAUGUAUGCUGGAUAAAGAAAUUACAAUAAUUUUUGCUGUGUAUGAUUUAUUGAGUGUUGUAGCCCUAAGUCAGUGUUGUGAAGGGAACAAGUCCAGUCGGUGCCCUGUGUUUUGUACUGAUAUUACUUUACAUUAAAUAACAUUAUCCUUGCUCACCGGUAAUGGGCAGAUUGGGCUUGUGUGUUUUUUUAGUUUGAUUUUGAGAAUUAUGCUUUGUUGCCAAAGAAUUUUGUACAUUAUUAUUAUCUUUACUUUUAUUAUCAUCAUUAUCAUUAUUAUUAUUAUUAUUAGAAUACACCAUGGGAUUUUCAAGCCCUGACAUCAAAUUUCUUCAUCUCUGUUCACCAUGAUGUAGUGCUGCGUUACAUCAUUUCCUUUCAUUCUUGCACAUCACAAGCAUGAAACUCAACUUUUCCAUGGUGAAAAGUGGGACACUUCUGUAAGGCUUGUGCACUGUGGAGGAGAUGCGGAUGACUCCUCCACUCGGGAACUCACCUGCUGGGCUAUAACAGGGUGCACAAUUUUCCUCCGGACCUGAUGUAUAUAUGUGUAUGUGUGGUGUGUGUUCCGCUAACCGUGGCAUCCAUUGUGCACUCCAUGUGGUGGUGCGGGAGGGAGAAUGUGGUGCGACUCAGCACAGAGUCGCAUGCUUGGAAGUCUGACAUAUGUUGUUGCACAUUUCUCUGUUUUGAUUCGUGCAUUACUCAUUUUUGGAUUGACGAGUGAGUGUAAGCCUUCGUCGUAUUUAAUUAAGUAAGAGUGAGAGAGUUGGUAAAGAGGGCCCAAGUAAUUUACACAGUAGACGCCACUAUCAUCAUCAUCAUCGCCACCAUCAUUGUCACGGUCAUCGCCAUCAUAGAGUUACUGUACACACCUGAUGAGUGUUGAGACAGACGGGGGAGUUGGGCUGUUGCCGUGGUGUUGACUAAAACUACACACCUCAUAGGCUAAUGAUGUGCUGUCUCUUGUGACUUUUAACCACAUGUACAGAUAAUAUUAACUUAUAUACAAGGGAGGUAAGCUGAGAGUGUUGUAUUUUAUGACUAUGAGGGAGUUUUUUUUCCCGUAUAUAUAUAUUAUCAUAUUCUUAAGUGCUUUUGAAAAUAUUUAACAGUAAGGAAACUACCUUAAUAGAUUACCAAAAGUAUACUCAACCCUCAAGAUCUCCCGAGCAUUUGGUGACAAUGGAUGUAUGCUGGCACUAGAUGAGGGCAUAUAGUGUUCAUUCCCAUUAAUAAUACAAUUUUAUUCCUAGGUGGUUUUCAAGAUAUUUAACCAUAGAAAAAGCUCCCAUUUGGGUUGUUCAAAAAUAUAUUCAAACCUUAAGAUUCAUCUAGUAUGUGGUAUCAGUGCAUUCUUACUUCUUUAUCAUGUAUUAUCAUAAUAUUCAUCAAUGGUUUUUUAAUAUAUCUAACCACAAUAAAAGCACCAUAACAGGUGGUCAUAUUCAUACUCAAUUCUGAAGAUCUGCCUAACAUCUGAUGCUGUUACCUGUCACUAUAAAUGAGAUCGCAAUGUUACCCCAACUCCUUCCUCCACAAGCUGGAUGCUUUGAGUCACUCCCAGGAUGCCACAUGUAAAGCUUUUCAGGGAAGGGAGACUACACAGGUGAAACUUUAUUUAUGUAGUUCUAUGUUCUGAUUUACAAAUGUAGAAUCUGCAUUUACCAAUAGAAAUCUGGGAGUUACUAAGAAGCAAUGAAAAUGCAUUCAAUAGAAAAUUUGAAAUUGAUUUUGUCCCUGAAUUAGAAGUGUUCAAUUUUUAUGAGUUUCAAGGAACAAACUUGUUCAUAAAUUGAGAUUCACCUGCACUCAUUUGUGAUAAAGAUGAACUACCUAAGGUAUCACGAAUACUUGUUGCAUUAUCAAUACAUCUCAUGCAGUUUAUUCAUGUGGAGAGUAAAUACACUAUUCCAAACACAGCAUACUGUAAUAUUAUAUCCUUUGAGAUCAAUCCAUACCUAACAACAGUAGUGUCACACCUGUACUCAGUGUUGGGAAGACCCUGUUAGUUGUCAUUGAGAAGAGACUGUCAGUACUGCCGUGAGAGGCUCGUUUGCCAGGUUGUGACGUUAAUGGUAUAAGUGUUUAUGUAGAAAGAACUUGUAAUUACACACUUCAUGGUUGCUGUGUUGAAAUAUAUAUGGUGCAUGUAGACACUUCAUUACUCAAGACCCUGUGUUGUGGCUCGGUGGCGGGUCUGUCUCUGUCAGUAAUGUGUAAUCACCACAUGUAAUACAGUGUUUUCUGCCUGUUUUUUCAGUGUUUCAAGGAGUUGUUGAAAUACUGUACUACUCUCUGUGUCAAUAACUUACAUGCAUAAUUAUAUCCUCUUAUAUUUGUGUGUAUUAUCUUGUUGAAGAAAUAAACCAAGUCCCUAAGUGUUGUGUCACACGCUGGAGCUCACUGACACCUGGUGGAGGCGCAGGUGACCCGAGGUGACCUGGUUGUAGCGGGUCGUUUAUGUCACGUGGGGCAUUACUUGCAUUACAUUUUUGAGGUUGUCUUCAUCCUCUUCGUUCACACCACAGUUCAGGAAAUAUCACGUCCCGAUGUUUUUGCACCACAAGCACGAGAGGUACCGAAGAAAAGGCUUUAUGUUCUCCUGGUCCAAAGACAACGUGUGCUUGGCAUUGUCCUCAUGUUUUGUGUUGGUAAUCCAUCACUAAUGAUUUAUGCAUUUGAAUUAGCCUUUGUAUAGAGGCUGGACGUCUCUUCAGUCUAAUACUGUUGCCUGAGGAGUGUAGUGGGAUGGCCUGGGGCUCAGAGGUGUUAGUUCCUACGCACACUGUGUGUAGUGUGAGGCUCACUCUUGGUUGUCAUUACUGUCGGCUGUUUAUUAUGUUUCUAGUCCUCCGCUGCUCCAGGUGAUGCCGACAACAACCCUGCUUGUGUUGGGCAGCUAAGUGUCCUGGCAGAGGUGUGGGUGUGUGUGAUGGGGCUGCUGCCUGCUGCCUGCUGGCUGGGGAGUGUGGGGAUACCAAAACAUUGCCAAAGAUAUAGAAGAAAUCAAAUGAAAUGUAAUGUUUACUUAAAAGAAGAUUAAAAGGAAAACCUGGUGUUGAAAAUACAUUAUAAUUUUUCUGGAAAAGAAAUUCAUCUUGUUAAUGAAAAAAAAAACUGAUAAGCCUUUGUUGACUGAUCACUGAUUUUAACAAAUUUAUACCAAAUAUUCACAAUGAGGAUUUUACAAGAAGCAAUGCUUCAAAUUUUUUCCUGUGAGGAGGAUGAAAAACAUAGUGAAAAACAUAUUGGGAAAUGAAGCAGAAUCAUAAUUCUUAUAUAAUUCUAAUGUGUUAAGAGUUACAGACAUGAAGACUAGCAGGUGCAGUUGAUACCAAAUAGUUGCAGGACAGUUGAUUAAGCUAUAGUCCAAUAAAAGCUUUAAAUACCAAUUAUGUACUCAUGAUUGUUUUGGGGAGGAGGAGCAAGGUGAGGGAGAGAGAGAGUGCUCUAAGGAACCUGCUAUAUAAGAGAAAGAGAGAGAGAGAGAGAGAAAGCAAGCAAGCAAGUGAGCAGAAUCUCUGGAUCUAAUAACAACUAGGUAUUGUAUAUUAGUAGUCCCCUCCAUAGUAACUCUUAAGGUAUGCAAGUUACACACCAUGUUCCCAGUCCUAGCAUGGCUCUUACUUAGCACCACGGCAAGAUGUAAUGCUGUCCUGAUUAUGUACACAGACACAUGCAUAAUGUUGCUUCCUCUCCGCAGAGCAUGUCAUCAUGUACGUAUACUACUGUCCCACCUUUCCGUUCUUGGUGUGUAGUGAAGAAAGAGCAUAUAUUAUAUCUCCCUAUACUGCAAAAACUCUGCAUUUAUUUGUUCACGACGAAGCGAUGGUUUCUUGAUUUAGAUUCCCGAUGGUGUGGUGUAUGUAUGUGUGUGCGUGCGUGUCUUGAUUUUUACGUGUCGAGGAGUCUUUUCAUGGCGGCUGUUUGUGUGGCGUUAUUUUAAAAGUCUUGUACUACUUACACCGUGUCCACAUUCCAAUACCUGUCCCACACAGUCAGACAUGUACUGGUGGCUACACUUUCAGAAUAUUGUCUUGCAUGGGAUUAUCAUAUAACACUUUGAACUGUAGACCAACGCGAGGAUUUAUUGUCACUCCUCUAAUCUGAAUCAGUAGAAAAGCAGAUGUAAUUGGAUGUUGAGAGGUAGUUGUAAUCAAAAUUUAGGAAUGGUAAUCAGACAUUGAAAAGGAAGAUCAGUAUGAUAUAAAUUCACUUGUAGGCUAUGAAGAAGACAGUUGAAAAUUUAGAAAGAUAUGUUAUUGGGUAUUAUGAAAAGUAGUGAUGAAGAUGUUUAAAUUUUAGCCACAAGGAUGCCAUUUCCAUGUUUUGGAUAAUGGGACAUUCCUGUAACUCACACCAUGAGACUCAUUGUUCAGUCACAUCUUGUCACCACAUCAAUAAGGAAAUGACUUGUAAUAAUGUUAAGAAUUAUAAUAAUAAUAAUAAUAAUAAUAAUAAAAGCUAUUUUGUAUGCCUGUGGUACUGUAUCCUUGUAUCAUACACCUACUAAAAUGUAUACAUA